RNAcentral lists this ribosomal RNA (468 nucleotides) under uncultured bacterium. RNAcentral's name for it is "partial 16S ribosomal RNA". It matches the Rfam family "Bacterial small subunit ribosomal RNA", at positions 28 to 507 of the family's 1533-position model. The record is from RNAcentral.
GACGAACGCUGGCGGCGUGCUUAACACAUGCAAGUCGAACGGAAAGGCCCUGCUUUUGUGGGGUGCUCGAGUGGCGAACGGGUGAGUAACACGUGAGUAACCUGCCCUUGACUUUGGGAUAACUUCAGGAAACUGGGGCUAAUACCGGAUAGGAGCUCCUGCUGCAUGGUGGGGGUUGGAAAGUUUCGGCGGUUGGGGAUGGACUCGCGGCUUAUCAGCUUGUUGGUGGGGUAGUGGCUUACCAAGGCUUUGACGGGUAGCCGGCCUGAGAGGGUGACCGGCCACAUUGGGACUGAGAUAGGCCCCAGACUCCUACGGGGGGCAGCAGGGGGGAAUCUUGCACAAUGGGGGGAAGCCUGAUGCAGCAACGCCGGGUGCGGGAUGACGGCCUACGGGUUGUAAACCGCUUUCGCCUGUGACGAAGCGGGAGUGACGGUAAUGGGUAAAGAAGCACCGGCUAACUACGUG